Long non-coding RNA from Octopus sinensis (East Asian common octopus), 180 nucleotides. RefSeq lists it as uncharacterized. The record is from RefSeq and is a predicted model, not a curated record. Lineage: Eukaryota; Metazoa; Mollusca; Cephalopoda; Octopoda; Octopodidae. The transcript has 3 exons.
AAAUACUUAGCGGUAUUUAGUCUGUCUUUACGUUCUGAGUUCAAAUUCCGCCGAGGUCAACUUUGUCUUUCAUCCUUUCAGGGUCGAUAAAUUAAGUACCAGUAAAACACUGGAGGCCAUGUAAUCAACUGUUUCCUGGCCCCCAAAUUUCAGGCCUAGUGCCUUUAGUAGAAAAGAUUA